AAUACUGGGUUCUGGAUUAUUCAUAGAUUGCUGACUCUCUGGAUUGAUUGUGCAAGCCCCUCCUUUUAUUGAUGUCCACCUUCUGUUGACAGACAUCUACCCUGGGAGAGAACUAAGAUGAAACUCUUUCUUGUCAUUGUAAAAAGCAUUUGAAUUCCUAAGGUGUGAUAAGGCCACCCAGCCAUCCACAGUCAAGCCAUAAGUUUUUCAGUAAGA
Long non-coding RNA from Myotis davidii, 216 nucleotides. RefSeq lists it as uncharacterized. The transcript has 4 exons. Lineage: Eukaryota; Metazoa; Chordata; Mammalia; Chiroptera; Vespertilionidae. The record is from RefSeq and is a predicted model, not a curated record.